Molecule: ribosomal RNA, 412 nt
Filed under: uncultured bacterium
Lineage: Bacteria
Description: partial 16S ribosomal RNA
Rfam family: Bacterial small subunit ribosomal RNA
Source: RNAcentral
AAUAUUGCGCAAUGGAGGGAACUCUGACGCAGCGACGCCGCGUGAGCGAUGAAGGUCUUCGGUUCGUAAAGCUCUGUCCUUGGGGAAGAAGGGGGCAUUAUAGCACCUUGACGGUACCCGAUGAGGAAGCCGCGGCCAACUACAUGCCAGCACCCGCGGUAAUACGUAGGGCGCAAGCGUUGUCCGGAAUUAUUGGGCGUAAAGGGUGCGUAGGCGGCCUUUUAAGUCAGGUGUGAAAGCCCACGGCUUAACCGUGGGAUUGCAUUUGAAACUGGAAGGCUUGAGUAUCGGAGAGGGUAGUGGAAUUCCCAGUGUAGCGGUGAAAUGCGUAGAUAUUGGGAGGAACACCAGUGGCGAAGGCGACUACCUGGACGAAAACUGACGCUGAUGCACGAAAGCUAGGGGAGCAAAC